UGGCGGGGUAACGGCCCACCAAAGCGACGAUCAGUAGCCGGCCUGAGAGGGUGGACGGCCACAUUGGGACUGAGACACGGCCCAGACUCCUACGGGAGGCAGCAGUGGGGAAUAUUGGGCAAUGGGCGCAAGCCUGACCCAGCAACGCCGCGUGGAGGAAGAAGGCUUUCGGGUUGUAAACUUCUUUUGUCAGGGAACAGUAGAAGAGGGUACCUGACGAAUAAGCCACGGCUAACUAC
Molecule: ribosomal RNA, 239 nt
Filed under: uncultured bacterium
Lineage: Bacteria
Description: partial 16S ribosomal RNA
Rfam family: Bacterial small subunit ribosomal RNA
Source: RNAcentral